Molecule: ribosomal RNA, 253 nt
Filed under: uncultured bacterium
Lineage: Bacteria
Description: partial 16S ribosomal RNA
Rfam family: Bacterial small subunit ribosomal RNA
Source: RNAcentral
UACGUAGGUAGCAAGCGUUGUUCGGAGUUACUGGGCGUAAAGGGUGUGUAGGCGGUUGUUUAAGUUUGGUGUGAAAUCUCCCGGCUCAACUGGGAGGGUGCGCCGAAUACUGAAUGACUAGAGUGCGGGAGAGGAAAGUGGAAUUCCUGGUGUAGCGGUGAAAUGCGUAGAUAUCAGGAGGAACACCGGUGGUGUAGACGGCUUUCUGGACCGUAACUGACGCUGAGACACGAAGGCGUGGGUAGCAAACAGG